CCGUGACAUGCACCGUUUGUAACGCGCGGACGAAUGAACGGAGAACGAAGAACGAAGCUGAGUAGCAGAGGAGCCAGAUACUAUGCUACGGAAACGCGAAAAACGGGAGAUAGAGAGUGAGACACCGCGCACGCGUCUACCGGCUCCUCGUCGUGGCGUUCGCCAACGACUGGAAGAGGAAAUACCGUCAGGGUUGCUUUAAACCACCGGGCGAACGAUAUAGAGAGGGCGCUAGAUGCUGAGUAUUGCCACUAUUUAAGAUUCACUAUCCACGAUCCACUGACCGUCAGUACUCUCAUGGCAACCUGUUAAUCACUGGAUAUUCACGUGCUGAGAAAAUCGGGGUACCAGACCUAGAAACUGCCAUUCGGAGCAAAACCAGAAAGAGAUGAAAGACGGAAGAGAUGUAAAGGUUCUACGCCGACUAACACGCUCACAAGGAUUACGGAAGUUUCUUCGCCGGCAUCAGCUGAGUAAAGGCUUAAAGUCUCUUCUCUCCUUGUACAAACUCACCCCGUGUCAACUCGGCGUAGGAAGUUAUUAUAUAAAGAAACUUAGGUAUGAAUUUUUUAGCAGCAACAAUAACAUUAUUUUUAAUUUUAUUGGCGAUUCCAAUCAUCGAUAAUGCGAUCGCGACCGGUAUUAAAUUCUGGGGCACGUGUGUAAGAUUUCGUAUGCCAACUGCAUGAUGGGAAACAUAAACCUCAUACGGAAUUAACCAUAAU
Cotesia glomerata is the source of this 725-nucleotide long non-coding RNA. RefSeq lists it as uncharacterized. The record is from RefSeq and is a predicted model, not a curated record. The transcript is spliced from 3 exons. Lineage: Eukaryota; Metazoa; Arthropoda; Insecta; Hymenoptera; Braconidae.